RNAcentral lists this ribosomal RNA (445 nucleotides) under uncultured bacterium. RNAcentral's name for it is "partial 16S ribosomal RNA". It matches the Rfam family "Bacterial small subunit ribosomal RNA", at positions 354 to 796 of the family's 1533-position model. The record is from RNAcentral.
GUAGGGAAUAUUGGGCAAUGGAUGCAAGUCUGACCCAGCCAUGCCGCGUGGAGGAAGAAGGUCCUCUGGAUUGUAAACUCCUUUUUUGGGGGAAGAAUAGUUCUCUUGCGAGGGAAUGUGACGGUACCCUAAGAAUAAGCCACGGCUAACUACGUGCCAGCAGCCGCGGUAAUACGUAGGUGGCAAGCGUUGUCCGGAUUUAUUGGGUUUAAAGGGUGCGUAGGUGGUUUGAUAAGUCAGUGGUGAAAGCUGGUUGCUCAACAAUCAAGUUGCCAUUGAUACGGUCGGACUUGAGAGAAGUGGAGGUUCAUGGAAUGGAUGGUGUAGCGGUGAAAUGCAUAGAUAUCAUCCAGAACGUCGAUUGCGAAGGCAGUGGGCUGUACUUUAUCUGACACUGAGGCACGAAAGUGUGGGGAUCAAACAGGAUUAGAUACCCUAGUAGUCC